RNAcentral lists this ribosomal RNA (399 nucleotides) under uncultured bacterium. Its description in RNAcentral is "bacterial SSU rRNA". It matches the Rfam family "Archaeal small subunit ribosomal RNA", at positions 723 to 1127 of the family's 1478-position model. The record is from RNAcentral.
ACUAAAUAGAUACCCGGGUAGUCCCAGCUGUAAACGAUGCAGACUAGGUGUUUGGACGGCCACGUGCCGUUCUAGUGCCGCAGGGAAGCUGUUAAGUCUGCCGCCUGGGGAGUACGAUCGCAAGAUUGAAACUUAAAGGAAUUGGCGGGGGAGCACCACAAGGGGUGAAGCUUGCGGUUUAAUUGGAGUCAACGCCGGAAAUCUCACCGGGAGCGACAGCAGUAUGAAAGCCAGAUUGAAGGUCUUGCUAGACGAGCUGAGAGGAGGUGCAUGGCCGUCGCCAGUUCGUGCCGUGAGGUGUCCUGUUAAGUCAGGCAACGAUCGAGACCCGCGUCCUCUGUUGCAACCAGCUUUGUGCUAGGCACACUGAGGGACGACCGCCACUGAAUAAAGGUGGAA